This 1797-nucleotide long non-coding RNA is filed under the name Ananas comosus (pineapple). RNAcentral's name for it is "long non-coding RNA (ACOM_LNC006961)". Lineage: Eukaryota; Viridiplantae; Streptophyta; Magnoliopsida; Poales; Bromeliaceae. The record is from RNAcentral.
CAAUUUGCCAAUAAUUUUUUUUUUUCAAAAAAUCACUACUACAAAUUCAUGAUUUAGCGGCAUUUACUCCGCAGCAUUUAUUUAAAUAACGCUAAUUAAUAUAUUUAAUAGCAUUACUUGAUAACUGCCGUUAAAUUUAAUAAUUUAGCAGCAAUUUACUAUUAAUGUUGCAAAAUAAAAUAAAUUAGCAGCAUAAAUUAGUAAAUGCCACCGAUGUUUCCAGCAUUUUAUAAAAAAUAAUACUAAAUAUAAUAAAGUAGCAGCACUUAUUGUUAAAUGCCGCAAUAUUUGCUCCGCGACAUUUAUUUAAAUCAUGUCCAUUAAUAUAUUUAGCAGUAUUACUUGAUAAUUGCCGCUAUAUUUAAUUAUUUAGUAGCAAUUUCCUAUUAAUGCUACAAAAUAGGAUAAAUUAACAGCAUAAAUUAGUGAAUGCCGCUAAAUAUAAUAAAUAAUUAUUAAUAAUUCCUUUUUUAUUUAGAAUAAAAAAUUUUAAAAUUAAAGUUUAAAAUUCGAAACAUAUAAUUUUAAAAAUUAAACUUAUAAUUUAAAAUUUAAAAUUCUAAAAUUUAUAUUUUAAAUUUUAAAUUCUAAAAUUAUUAAUUUUUAAAUUUUAAAAUUUUAAAUUUAUUUUAAAUUUUAAAUUUCAAAUUUAAAACUAUUAAUUUUGAAACUUAAAAUUUCAUAUUUUUAAAUUAAUAAUUUAAAUUUAGUAUCUAAAUUUAAAAUUUUAAAAUUUUAAAAUAGAAGACUUAAAAUAUAAAAAAUUAAAAUAUACAUAACUAAUAGUCGCUAGUGAAAGUGGCAAAGGACUUGGUUGUUGGUACUUGAGGUCUCAAGUUCGAAUCUUAGUUGAUUCACAUUUCCAACAAAGUUUAAGACAAAAAGAAAUAAAUAAAGCGGGUAGCAUUACAAAAAAAUUAAAUAUAGAAUUAAAAUUUUAAAAUUUUAAUUUCUAGAAUUAGAUAUUUGUAUUAGCGACUUUGUAUUAGCGACAUUAUAUUUAUGUGCCACUAAUAAAUAAUUUAAAAUUAACAUUUAAUCCCUUUUAGCGGCAUAUUCCUAAUGACACUAAUUGAUUUAUAUUAGCGGCAUUUAUAAUUAAUGUUGCUAAUACUUUUAGCAACAUUGGUAUAGGCAGCAUUUUGUGUCAUAUACUGCUAAAACUUUUAGCAGCAUUUGUUGAUCAUUUAGUAGCAUAAAUAAAUAUCACUAAUGACUAAUUUUUUAGUAGUGAAUACAGAAUAAGAUAGUCAAUAUAUGUAUCAAAAAAUAUGUACUGUAUUGCAGCAGAAUUAUAAAGUUUUCAAGACCAGUGCCACGUGAUCGCCACCUGCAGAUCCGGACAUCUCCACCCGAGAGCAGUCGCGCGACCUUUCCUCUCCGAUUAAUUUUAGGAUUGAAAAAACACAACGACGAAGAGGUGGGAAAAAAGAAAAAUCACAGCCCGCGCGACCGAAGUAUCGUGGUCCACAAGCUAAUGGGGUCCUCAACUUUAUUUUGACCAACUUUUUUUUUUUUUUGUAUAUUUUUAUUUUUAUAUUUUUAAAAAUUAUGAUAUAAUUAUUUAUGAUAGUAACAAUAUAAAUUUAGAGAGAGUAGUUUAAUUUACUAGCUGAAUUUUUUAUUCUAAUUUUUUUAAAAAAAAUGAUAAACGUAUAAUUCUCGUAUAAAUCACAUAUUCAAAUAGUUGAUGAAAUUUUCUUUCAAACCGUAUUUUUCAGAGAAUUUGAUAAUCGAUCGAAAUACGAAAUUUAUUUGUGUUUUAUUGGUAUCAAAAUUUUGCGGUAUCCAGAUUAA